AUUGAACGCUGGCGGCCGGCCUAACACAUGCAAGUCGAACGAGUGGCGGACGGGUGAGUAAUGUCUGGGAAACUGCCUGAUGGAGGGGGCUCACUCCUGUAAACGGUAGCUACUACCGCCUACCAUCCUAUUUUCCCCGAGGGGAUUAGGGAGUGGGUGGGGUAAAGGCUCACCAAGGCGACGAUCCCUAGCUGGUCUGAGAGGAUGACCAGCCACACUGGAACUGAGACACGGCCCAGACUCCUACGGGAGGCAGCAGUGGGGAAUAUUGCACAAUGGGCGCAAGCCUGAUGCAGCCAUGCCGCGUGUGUGAAGAAGGCCUUCGGGUUGUAAAGCACUUUCAGCGGGGAGGCGUUACCCGCAGAAGAAGCACCGGCUAACUCCGUGCCAGCAGCCGCGGUAAUUC
This 406-nucleotide ribosomal RNA is filed under the name uncultured bacterium. Its description in RNAcentral is "partial 16S ribosomal RNA". It matches the Rfam family "Bacterial small subunit ribosomal RNA", at positions 30 to 526 of the family's 1533-position model. The record is from RNAcentral.